Molecule: long non-coding RNA, 1067 nt
Organism: Dalotia coriaria
Lineage: Eukaryota; Metazoa; Arthropoda; Insecta; Coleoptera; Staphylinidae
Exons: 2
Source: RefSeq, a predicted model, not a curated record
GUUACAGCACUCGUUAUGCCUGGCAGUCCGAUAAUCUGUACACUGGGCAUUCCAAGACUACCCGAUAUAGGGCUAAGUUUGUAAAUAUUAUUGCAUCAUUAUUACAUUUUGUUUUAUAAUCGCGUGAAGUGAAAAUAUCGUUAUAGUUUAAAAUUGUCGCGAGCCGUCGGAUACAUUUUUGGCCUCGCUGCAGAAAGUUGGUUUUACUAUAUCUAUUCAUCUCACAUUUUUCUGUUAUUUUGCAAUCUUUAUUCUGUAAUCACGUUGAUACUUCUAGUAGAUUGACAAUUAAUUACUGUCCGUAAAAUGUAUAUAAUACGCGAUUUUAAUGUUUCCUUCCGCGCGUGCGUGCCAUCGGUCGGCACUUUGUUUAGAUAUUGCGUCGAAAAUAUAAGAAAAUAUAAUUGUCACCUUCUUAAUUGUUACUUUCCCUUCCUUUAUUUUUAUGCCAUGCAGGGAAAAACGGGUAACAACUUAAAUUUUCUUUUAGUUUUCUUCUAGCGAUUUAGUAUUUACUUCUAAAUGUAGUGGUAUUGGUGUUGUGUUGCCUUCUUUUGCAUUUUCCUUCACUUUCCAUUGUGAAAAUUGUUACAUUUUCCUGCUCCCUUAUCAAAACCUGGUAAAUUCCUGAUAUUUUUUCUUCGCCAGACCAUUUUCAUUUUAAAAUUGGCAUUUUCUUUUGACAACAUCCUAUAUAUUUGUUUUCCUUCAUUUCCAAUCAAUACUUGACCAAUUUUUUGUUUUCAACUGUUUUCUUUCUUGAACUGUAGAUUUUCUUUUGUAACACCCUGUAUAUCGCUUUUCCAUUCUUCGAAAAAUGUGGUAAGGUUAUUAUUGCAAGUUUCCUUUGGAAGUAUGAUUUUUCUUUUGGUAACACCCUGUACAUUUGUUUUCCGUGAUAAAUAGUUAUUUUCUAGUGCCUAUAUGUUAGUGUUUAUAAUUUGCUACUUGCCUGUUUGUGCGCGAUGAUGCAGGUCGUAAGUCCUGUUUCAAAAUGGCGACAUGUAUUCUGUUGACUUGUAAAAUAUAAACUUGUAUUUUAUUGUUAAUAAAUAAAUAGUAAGAUA